Molecule: long non-coding RNA, 783 nt
Organism: Musca domestica (house fly)
Lineage: Eukaryota; Metazoa; Arthropoda; Insecta; Diptera; Muscidae
Exons: 2
Source: RefSeq, a predicted model, not a curated record
UUGAAAAAUCCAAUGUCAUGGUCAUUGUUUUACAUUAUAAAGCCUCAAUAUUUAGUGCGCAUUUAAAACCUGGCGCCUCCUAAUCUCUUGACCCCCCUCAAUUCAAUUCUUGGAAAUUCAAUCCCCCACAUUUUUUUUCCAAGCUAAUUGUAAACAAAUCGUCAAGUGUCGCAUCAUCUCAUGUAACGCCAAGAUAAUAAUUAUUAAACUAUAAAAUUUGUAUUUAUUAUCAAUAAAAGUGAUUGGAAAUAAAUCAUUGUCAGCAGCAGCAUAAGCUGUCAAGCAAAUCUGUUGGGGGAAAUCCCAACUGAAACUUGAUAAGAAAAAAAAAAAAAAAACAAACGCAGCAAGAAAAUUUCAGCGAAAACUAAACAUGAGCCGUGGCCAAGAAAACACGUGAGUGAGGGCAGAACUGGAAAACCAUCGUUUAAUCUAACGGGACUUUUGGUAUAAAUAGUGAAAACUGGAGGUGAGAAAGUAUCAUUCGACAAAAUGAAAAUCUACGCUUUAUUUGCAUUUGUAUUGGCCCUUUUGGCACUGGCCAUGGGCAACCCCAAUCCCAAUCCUAAACCCUUACCCGGCGGAGGUGGUGGCGGAGGCGGCGGUGGUGGCUCCUUUGGAGGUGGUGGUGGCGGCGGAGGCGGUGGUGGUGGCAAGUAAAUUCGUAACACCCAGCUGCUCAGUUCCUAGUUGUUGACCACGCUUUUGUUAAAAAAUGUUGAGAUUUGUUAAAAAAUAAUAAAAAUUUUUGAAAUAUAUUUUUUUAAAUAUCAUCGAAAAUAA